Molecule: ribosomal RNA, 556 nt
Filed under: uncultured bacterium
Lineage: Bacteria
Description: partial 16S ribosomal RNA
Rfam family: Bacterial small subunit ribosomal RNA
Source: RNAcentral
UGGGGAAUUUUGGACAAUGGGCGAAAGCCUGAUCCAGCAAUGCCGCGUGUGUGAAGAAGGCCUUCGGGUUGUAAAGCACUUUUGUCCGGAAAGAAAUCCUUGGCUCUAAUACAGUCGGGGGAUGGCGGUACCGGAAGAAUAAGCACCGGCUAACUACGUGCCAGCAGCCGCGGUAAUACGUAGGGUGCAAGCGUUAAUCGGAAUUACUGGGCGUAAAGCGUGCGCAGGCGGUUUGCUAAGACCGAUGUGAAAUCCCCGGGCUCAACCUGGGAACUGCAUUGGUGACUGGCAGGCUAGAGUAUGGCAGAGGGGGGUAGAAUUCCACGUGUAGCAGUGAAAUGCGUAGAGAUGUGGAGGAAUACCGAUGGCGAAGGCAGCCCCCUGGGCAAUACUGACGCUCAUGCACGAAAGCGUGGGGAGCAAACAGGAUUAGAUACCCUGGUAGUCCACGCCCUAAACGAUGUCAACUAGUUGUUGGGGAUUCAUUUCCUAGUAACGUAGCUAACGCGUGAAGUUGACCGCCUGGGGAGUACGGUCGCAAGAUUAAAACUCAAAU